CAGCAAACUGUGUCUGCUGUGCUUGCGAUCUCAUACAACAGGCUGCCAUAUGAUCCGGUGGUCACCGUCUGAAUCGUGAGCUUUUCCAGUCUUUCCUCUCGUCAUCUCCAGUCUUCUUCCUCGCCACUACACCUUCAUCUACACACAUCUUCGCCAUCUACACAGACAUCUACAUAUCCAGUCAUCAUAGUCGCCAUCACCAACAUCACCAUCAACAUAGAACUACUUCAUCUCAGCAUUCAUCAUUUUCAUGUAAGCUUACGUUUCAUUCUAUUUGAUAAUGUUGUUUAUUCAUGGUGUUUCCCACAGAUUUUUUUAGUUCUUUUACACUAUGACCUCUUGGCCGUAGCCUCCGGACCGUGCUCUAGCCUCCUUCAUAUUCACUGUUAUGAUUUUUUUUGUAUAACUUGGCAUGGGUCAAGUGUCUUCUUAGGGGCCAGUAUUCCAUAUACAUGCAUAUUUAUAUAUAUGCAUCUCUGAUACUACAUGGUGCACGUUUAUGUACAGUGUA
Strongylocentrotus purpuratus (purple sea urchin) is the source of this 511-nucleotide long non-coding RNA. RefSeq lists it as uncharacterized. The transcript is spliced from 3 exons. The record is from RefSeq and is a predicted model, not a curated record. Lineage: Eukaryota; Metazoa; Echinodermata; Echinoidea; Camarodonta; Strongylocentrotidae.